Molecule: ribosomal RNA, 503 nt
Filed under: uncultured bacterium
Lineage: Bacteria
Description: partial 16S ribosomal RNA
Rfam family: Bacterial small subunit ribosomal RNA
Source: RNAcentral
AUUGAACGCUGGCGGCAGGCUUAACACAUGCAAGUCGAGCGGAGUGAUGGUGCUUGCACUAUCACUUAGCGGCGGACGGGUGAGUAAUGCUUAGGAAUCUGCCUAUUAGUGGGGGACAACAUCUCGAAAGGGAUGCUAAUACCGCAUACGUCCUACGGGAGAAAGCAGGGGAUCACUUGUGACCUUGCGCUAAUAGAUGAGCCUAAGUCGGAGUAGCUAGUUGGUGGGGUAAAGGCCUACCAAGGCGACGAUCUGUAGCGGGUCUGAGAGGAUGAUCCGCCACACUGGGACUGAGACACGGCCCAGACUCCUACGGGAGGCAGCAGUGGGGAAUAUUGGACAAUGGGGGGAACCCUGAUCCAGCCAUGCCGCGUGUGUGAAGAAGGCCUUAUGGUAGUAAAGCACUUUAAGCGAGGAGGAGGCUCUUUUGGUUAAUACCCAAGAUGAGUGGACGUUACUCGCAGAAUAAGCACCGGCUAACUCUGUGCCAGCCGCCGCAGUAA